RNAcentral lists this long non-coding RNA (588 nucleotides) under Nicotiana benthamiana. RNAcentral's name for it is "long non-coding RNA (NBEN_LNC019542)". Lineage: Eukaryota; Viridiplantae; Streptophyta; Magnoliopsida; Solanales; Solanaceae. The record is from RNAcentral.
UAAAAAAAUAUAUGAAUAUAUUCAUGACAUAUAGUGAGAGUGUCACUAUAAUAAAAUACAUAGAAUACAACGGGAUACAUUGAAAUACAAUGAAUAUAAUGAAAUACAACUUGAUACAUUGAAUUAUAAUUAAAAAAAAAAGAUAAUAAAUACAAUAAAAUACAUGAAAAUACAGCGUGAUACGCCGAAAAUACAUUAAAAUAGAGAGGAGAGUUUUGGGUAUGAUUGAGUCAAGUCCCAUUGCUUUUGAACCUAGAUUGCCGUUUGAAAUGGUGUUGCAACGUAAACUUUACGAAUCUUGUUCUAGCUAUUUGUGUUGGUUGUUAAUGGGGUUCUUGCCCUGUUUUGGCGUUUGUUAUGUCCAGGCGCGUGACAAGGGUUUUUUUGGGUGGGAAGCGGCUGAUUGUUAUGGCUAGAGACAGGGUCUUCUGGCCGCUGGUGUUGUUGGUAGAAGAGGGUGUUCGGUUGGAGGCUUGGGAGUGAAGAGGUGAAAGAGUUUGGGUGGCUCAGGAUUAGAGGUUCAGAAGGGAUCGCUGACUCUUGGAUUUUCUGGUAAUUGAUGGCUGGCGGCGGUUGCUUAGGGGCGUU